Molecule: long non-coding RNA, 519 nt
Organism: Drosophila gunungcola (fruit fly)
Lineage: Eukaryota; Metazoa; Arthropoda; Insecta; Diptera; Drosophilidae
Exons: 4
Source: RefSeq, a predicted model, not a curated record
CCCCCAACAGGGACAGCACACCCAGGAUGAUCUCGGGCAGCGGCGAGAAGAUGCUCCGCGUGAACAGGAUGUAGGCGCUGAAGAAGGUGAAGGCAUAGCCGGCCACAUGGACGGCCGCCACUCCCUGGCCGCGAACGCAGAGGGCAUCAUAAAAUUGUUCUGAAGUUUGUAACUCAGUAAAGGAGACAUCGCAAAAAUAUUCAUGAUCAUCUUCUUAAAAAAUCUUGUCGAUCGGAAGACUAUAUCCUAUAGCUGUCAAAGCAACAAUUAGCCUUAAAUAAUGGUUUUCUUUCUCGUUACGGUUGAUAACAAAGCCAUAUACUUUGGCAAAUUAAAUUUUCGUUAAAAUCCAAGAAAUAGAUAUUCAUCACUCAACUCGGCUGCGAAGAUGAUGCCCCCGGUGACCGAGAUGAAAAUGCCACUCAGCAGCAGGGAGGCGGAGGCCAUCGCCUUGCGUCCGAUGCGAUCUUGCAGGGCGAUGAUCAGCAGGCAGGCCGGCAGAAUUGCGGUGGCGCUCAG